AUUGGGAACUGGCUGCUGAUGGAAUUGCUGUGCAAUUUUAAAACACAAUAUGGAUAAUGUGGCUGAAGUAGUGACUUAAAAUCGAAUGACGAACGUGUUGCAAAAAAUUACAUCGAUCAGGCGGGCAAAAAUGAGCGGGAUAGGGAUGUACAAUGCCGCAGAUAGUAUCGAUAAGGUCUUGUCGAUAUGUGUUGUUCCGCGGAGCUGCAUCGUCUGUCACACGUGUCUUCAAAGUCGCCCAAAUUGUUUCCAAAACUGCAUAUCCAGAGGGGUGUGACACGCAGUACUUACGACGUCUGCUCGUGCCCCAAGCAUCUGAUGCUACUGGAGGACAAGCAGAACUACGGCGUGUAUCCGGGCAGAUAAUUUGAAGUGGCCGGAGUAGUGACAUGAGCAACGACAAGCAGAACUACGGCGUGUAUCAGGCCAGAUAAUUUUAAGUGUCGGGAGUAGUGACAUGAGCAACGACUGUAUAUCCGCCUUCUGACUGCCCGGAGGAUCAGUUCUGCUGACAGUCAGCCGAGGGCAGCGACAAGGUACCACCUGCAACAAAUGUGAUAAUAUCCACGAUGAGGCCGACUGCUGCAAGCGCCCAAGAGACUUUCAGUGUCCCAUCAACAAGGCGCCGCAUGGCCCUGCAAACCGAGGCAAUGAAUCGAGCUCUAAUGGCUCCAUCGAAGAAAUUAAAUAAGGCAUUUUUCAAAGGCAGUUAGCGGAAGCGAUGGUGGAUAAAGGUGGGCUGAGAGGACUGCAUUUGUUGAUCUAUCUUCUUAGCCUUUUCCACCAUUUCGUGCAAAUCGUAUACGCCAAGACCUAUUAAAAAGAAAGGAUUUUAAUCCUUGUAGGAACGGCGUUGCAGUAGCUCACGAACUAAAGGAUAAUUUCCAGAGCAUCUUUAUAACGGCACUUCACAGAAAACCAGGGCUGGGCUAGUCGCGCUAUCAUCUUUACAUUAUAACGGCACUUUACCGAAAACCAGGGCUGGGCUUGUCGGGCUAUAUCGAUAUACAAUGGUAUAUUUAGUCAAUUUCAUCAAGUUAUUAAAUUUCAUUUUCAAAGGUAUAUAGAAAUCCAAUAAAAGCAAGUUGUUACAAUAACCCA
Drosophila miranda is the source of this 1101-nucleotide long non-coding RNA. RefSeq lists it as uncharacterized. The record is from RefSeq and is a predicted model, not a curated record. NCBI's taxonomy places the organism in Eukaryota, Metazoa, Arthropoda, Insecta, Diptera, Drosophilidae. The transcript has 4 exons.